UCAGCACAGAGCCAGACACGGGGCUCAAUCCCAGGACUCUGGGACCAUGACCUGCGCCAAAGUCAAGAGUCCUCAACGCUUAACAGACUGAGCCCACCCAGGUGCCCCCAACAUAUUUUUUAAAGCGUUUGUAAAAUGCACGAACAUGUUGAAAAAAGAGGUUUUCAGAAGUUUACAGUGAAAAGUCUCCCUCAGAAACACUCAGUUCCCCAGUCACUGUCCCUUCUGGACUCUUCCAGAAGUAUUUCCACCAUGUGGAGGGGGAGAGGGUGUUUUAAUUUCUACCCUCAAAGCCUUAAAAACAAACAAACAAAAAAAAAGGGGGGGGGGAAGAUUCCUAAAAAACGUUCUGCCAUUAAGAAAAGACUCACUCUUGGGGCGCCUGGGUGGCGCAGUCGGUUAAGCGUCCGACUUCAGCCAGGUCACCAUCUCGCGGUCCGUGAGUUCGAGCCCCUCGUCAGGCUCUGGGCUGAUGGCUCGGAGCCUGGAGCCUGUUUCCGAUUCUGUGUCUCCCUCUCUCUCUGCCCCUCCCCCGUUCAUGCUCUGUCUCUCUCUGUCCCAAAAAUAAAUAAAAGUUGAAAAAAAAAUUUAAAAAAAAAGACUCACUCUUGUUUUAAAUUAUGAUCAUUGUAUUGUUUUACGCCACUUAGAAUGAGAAAACGAAACUGUUCUGUAUUUUCUUUGAUAACCCGUGUAGGUAGGUGUUUAUGAAAAAGAUCUGAUGAGAGUUCAGAAUUGACUUUGUAAUUUUUAACAUUUUUCAGAGAGAAUGAAUUUAUGCCUGGGGAAUUAAAAUGAGUAUUAAGAGCAAAAUGUCAUGUCUCCGGUUAGGAGACGCCAGUAACUUCCUAAUCCAGAUGUUUCUGAAGGUUAUUCGUGCAAAAAGGUUUCAAAGGAACAAAACACGGAGGCCCUUUGUAGGGUUGUUUCUCCCCAAUUUUCGGGGAACCAAAAAGCUGAGGUUCUUUCUGAGGGGAUCAGGCUUAGCUUCAAACCACACCCUGUUCACUGUUGGCCGUGGCUUUUGCUGGAAGCCUCGUGAUUCGUGUUGUUUAACGGCUGAGUCACGAGCUUUGUGACAUAGUUUUUUCCAGAGUCCAAAAGGUACAGAGAAGAACAGGCCUGGUUUCAGGGGCAGGGAAGGGAGAGGAGGAGGAAGAGGAGGACGGGAGGAAGAAGAGAGGCUCGGAGGGUGGGAAUGGGGUCCAGGGUUAUCUCCAAAGAGAAAACAUUCUUGGGAGCUGACAACACUGAUGUCUCGAGCAGAAAAACAAUUCUCUGCAACACCCCUGCUGCAUUCCUUCAGUCCAGCAGAAGGUAUAGAAGUAAACGUCCAAGGGCACGGGGGUGACAGGGAGAGGGAGAGAAAAGGAGAGGGGAUGGCUGGUGUUUCCCCAGAGAGGGGAUUCUCAAGCACCAGUGAUCGGACCCCUCCGAGGACACGUGGCAACGUCUGGAGGCAAUUUUUGGCUGUCACAACUGUGGCGUGAGCGGGGAGGAAGAGUUCCUGCUACUGGCGUGUGGUCACCGAGGUCGGGGACGCUGCGGCACCCCCCCCCCCACGCGAUUACCCAGCCCCGAAGAUCCGUCCUUUGCAAACGCCCCAGAAGAGCUCGCUUCGGAGGUGGAACCAAUGGAAGAGUGACAGAGGCCCAGCAACACGGCGGGAUUGGCGCGCGGACGCGAGCACGUGACGGGCUGAGCUCACAAAGGGCCUGGGGUGCUGGGCUGCUGGGGGCGGGGUGGGCGGUGCUGGUGGGACUGGUGCCCGUCUGUCUGCCUGCCUUUCCUCCUUCCCCAAAGGAUUUGGUUCCCCUGAAGGUCAUAACCAUGUUUGGGACUUAACUCAGCAUCAUGAGAAAAUCCAAGAGCACAGCGAUCAGCAAACAUUUCCCCCAAGAGAGAGGAUGAGAUCAAGGGCAGGCUGGGAACCGUU
Felis catus (domestic cat) is the source of this 1936-nucleotide long non-coding RNA. RefSeq lists it as uncharacterized. NCBI's taxonomy places the organism in Eukaryota, Metazoa, Chordata, Mammalia, Carnivora, Felidae. The transcript is spliced from 2 exons. The record is from RefSeq and is a predicted model, not a curated record.